UACACAAAGUAUACGAAAAAAUAUAUGACGUCCCUCUCCCAUCGUUCGCAAGAGUGCAUGAGAGAGGACGCUAGAGAUCUUGUAAAGAUCAAAUUGAGAUUUCCGACUGACGCUUCGGUUGCGGUGUUGACGCACCGCCCGUUGUGCUCGUCUUUCGGACGCAAACGCGUGCGCUAUCCUUAUGAAAUAAAAAAAAUAUCGAUAGAAUCUCGGAAUAAAGAGAGCGAUCUCAUUAUUCCACUUGAACGAAGGGAACGUUUAUCGUUGCCUCUGCAAUUCUGUGCUGAAAGGCGAGCUUGUGCCGCCGCUGCUCACCGCGGGCAACCUAAUGAGCACAUAAUACGAACCCGUCGUUGGCGUGUAAUGAAGACAUUACACCGAUGGCGUUCGUAUGCUCAGGGAGGAAACACUGCGCGUGCAAACGCGUAUGUCGUUCACCAAGGUUUUUAAAUGAAACUUCGCCCAAAGAUGUAAAUAUCUGAGUGAGCAGCGCCGAGCCGCUUUUAUCCGGGUAUCACGCUAUGCGCGAUUUCCGGACUUUCAGCCGUUUUGCUGUCGCGGUCCUUUGAAUUUCCUACGGGAGAAUCUUUUGACCAGCGACUUCGCGAGUCGCGCCUUAACGGGCGGGCUCGCGAGACCGUCUUGUCGACGAAAAUCGAAUUUUAGAACAAUAACAUUUUGAGAAUGCUGUUUGUAAAGCACAAAUAUGUAUUUAUAUGAUUACCCUGAACGGUGGAUCACUUGGCUCGUGGGUCGAUGAAGAACGCAGCUAAUUGCGCGUCAACUUGUGAACUGCAGGACACAUGAACAUCGACAUUUCGAACGCACAUUGCGGUCCACGGAUACAAUUCCCGGACCACGCCUGGCUGAGGGUCGUUUACGCAUAAAAGUAAGACUGCUCUUGCGAAAUAUUCGCGAGCGAAUGUAUUGGGCGCUCGUCGAUGGCUGAGAAGCUAAUCGGCGUCGCUUGAAGUCAUGCAAUCGAUGGCUACGGAUACCAAGCACAAAACUUGUUCCGUACCUCGAUGAGCGUGCGUUACGCGGAUCCUUAACGGGAAAUACGCGUACGCACGCGAGACUCUAUGAGAGUAUCGAGCUGAAACCAAAGUUGAGCUGAUCGAAGAGAUCGAGAAACUAUGAACGCGCAAUCGUUCUAAAAGGGUCGUCCCUGUGAACCGUGUUGUUCGUAAUGCAUCUCGUGCGAAAUCCACCGCUCACAUUGAGAAGUGAACGCGCUGCUCAACGGUCGGUCGAUCGAGUCCCGGAGCUAUUCGUAGUACAAAGGACAGAUACGACUGAUCGUGAGUGGGCGUUGUGUAGCGCAAGGAUCUCCACAAUAUAGGAGCAAACGAACUAUAAACACGAUGUGGUUCACGUGACAAUUGAACGCGAAGACCCUCGUUUCUCUAUCGUUGAACUUCUUUCAUCCACACACUAGA
Molecule: ribosomal RNA, 1439 nt
Filed under: Campoletis sonorensis
Lineage: Eukaryota; Metazoa; Arthropoda; Insecta; Hymenoptera; Ichneumonidae
Description: eukaryotic LSU rRNA
Rfam family: 5.8S ribosomal RNA (bases 722-876)
Source: RNAcentral